This 470-nucleotide ribosomal RNA is filed under the name uncultured organism. Its description in RNAcentral is "partial 16S ribosomal RNA". It matches the Rfam family "Bacterial small subunit ribosomal RNA", at positions 334 to 796 of the family's 1533-position model. The record is from RNAcentral.
CACUCCUGCGGGAGGCAGCAGUGGGGAAUUUUGGACAAUGGGCGAAAGCCUGAUCCAGCAAUGCCGCGUGAGUGAAGAAGGCCUUCGGGUUGUAAAGCUCUUUUGUCAGGGAAGAAACGGUGAAAGCUAAUAUCUUUUGCUAAUGACGGUACCUGAAGAAUAAGCACCGGCUAACUACGUGCCAGCAGCCGCGGUAAUACGUAGGGUGCAAGCGUUAAUCGGAAUUACUGGGCGUAAAGCGUGCGCAGGCGGUUUUGUAAGUCUGAUGUGAAAUCCCCGGGCUCAACCUGGGAAUUGCAUUGGAGACUGCAAGGCUAGAAUCUGGCAGAGGGGGGUAGAAUUCCACGUGUAGCAGUGAAAUGCGUAGAUAUGUGGAGGAACACCGAUGGCGAAGGCAGCCCCCUGGGUCAAGAUUGACGCUCAUGCACGAAAUCGUGGGGAGCAAACAGGAUUAGAAACCCCUGUAGUCC